This 39080-nucleotide long non-coding RNA is filed under the name Triticum aestivum (bread wheat). Its description in RNAcentral is "long non-coding RNA (TAES_LNC010593)". The record is from RNAcentral. Lineage: Eukaryota; Viridiplantae; Streptophyta; Magnoliopsida; Poales; Poaceae.
AUGUCACAACGUAACUGGGUGAUUAUAAAGGUGCUCUACAGGUGUCUAAGAAGGUACUUGUUGAGUUGGCGUAUUUCGAGAUUAGGAUUUGUCACUCCGAUUGUUGGAGAGGUAUCUCUGGGCCCACUCAGUAAUGCACAUCACUAUAAGCCUUGCAAGCAUUGUAACUAAUGAGUUAGUUCUGGGAUGAUGUAUUACGGAACGAGUAAAGAGACUUGCCGGUAACGAGAUUGAACUAGGUAUUGAGAUACCGAUAAUCGAAUCUCGGGCAAGUAACAUACCGAUGACAAAGGGAACAACGUAUGUUGUUAUGCGGUUUGACCGAUAAAGAUCUUCGUAGAAUAUGUCGGAGCCAAUAUGAGCAUCCAGGUUCCGCUAUUGGUUAUUGACCGGAGACGUGUCUCGGUCAUGUCUACAUAGUUCUCGAACCCGUAGGGUCCGCACUCCUAAAAUUCAGUGACGAUCGGUAUUAUGAGUUUUUGUGUUUUGAUGUACCGAAGGUAGUUCAGAGUCCCAGAUAUGAUCACGGACAUGACGAGGAGUCUCGAAAUGGUCGAGACGUAAAGAUCGAUAUAUUGGACGACUAUGUUCGGACACCGGAAAGGUUUCGGACAUAUACCAGAGUACCAGGGGGUUACCGGAACCCCCCGGGGGGCUUAAUGGGCCUACAUAGGCCUUAGUGGAAAUAGAGGGCGGCAAGGGGAGUGUAGCCCCUCCCCCNNNNNNNNNNNNNNNNNNNNNNNNNNNNNNNNNNNNNNNNNNNNNNNNNNNNNNNNNNNNNNNNNNNNNNNNNNNNNNNNNNNNNNNNNNNNNNNNNNNNNNNNNNNNNNNNNNNNNNNNNNNNNNNNNNNNNNNNNNNNNNNNNNNNNNNNNNNNNNNNNNNNNNNNNNNNNNNNNNNNNNNNNNNNNNNNNNNNNNNNNCCUUCUCCUCAUCUCCCUUUCCUUCCCCCUCUCCUACUCCUACUAGGAAAAGGAGGAGUCCUACUCCUAGUGGGAGUAGGACUCCCCCUCUUGGCGCGCCUCUCCCUGGCCGGCCGCCUCCUCCCCCUUGCUCCUUUAUAUACAGGUGCAGGGGGGCACCCCAUAGACACAACAAUUGAUCAUUGAUAUCUUAGCCAUGUACGGUGCCCCCCUCCACCAUAAUCCACCUCGAUCAUAUCGUAGCGGUGCUUAGACGAAGCCCUGCGUCGGUAGCAUCAUCUUCACCGUCACCAUGUUGUCGUGCUGACGAAACUCUCCUGUGAAGCUGUGCUAGAUCGGAGCUCGCGAGACGUCAUCGAGUUGAACAUGUGCUGAACUCGGAGGUGUCAUGCGUUUGGUACUUGGAUCGGUCGGAUCGUGAAGACGUAUGACUACAUCAACCGCGUUGUGCUAACGCUUCCGCAUUCAGUCUACGAGGGUACGUGGACACACUCUCCCCUCUCGUUGCUAUGCAUCACCAUGAUCCUGUGUGUGCAUAGGAUUUUUUUUUGAAAUUACUACGUUCCCCAAUAGUGGCAUCCGAGCCAGGUUUAUGCGUAGAUCUUAUAUGCACGAGUAGAACACAAGUGAGUUGUGGGCGAUACAAGUCAUACUGCUUACCAGCAUGGCAUACUUUGGUUCGGUGGUAUUGUUGGAUGAAGCGGCCCGGACCAACAUUACGCGUACGCUUACGCGAGACUGGUUCUACCGACGUGCUUUGCACACAGGUGGCUGGCGGGUGUCAGUUUCUCCAACUUUAGUUGAACCGAGUGUGGUACGCCCGGUCCUUGCGAAGGUUAAACAACACUAACUUGAUGAACUAUCGUUGUGGUUUUGAUGCGUAGGUAAGAACGGUUCUUGCUCAGCCCGUAGCAGCCACGUAAAACUUGCAACAACAAAGUAGAGGACGUCUAACUUGUUUUUGCAGGGCAUGUUGUGAUGUGAUAUGGUCAAGACAUGAUGCAAUAUUGUAUGAGAUGAUCAUGUUCUGUAACAGAGUUAUCGGCAACUGGCAGGAGCCAUAUGGUUGUCGCUUUAUUGUAUGCAAUGCAAUCGCCCAGUAAUUGCUUUACUUUAUCACUAAGUGGUAGUGAUAGUCGUAGAAGCAAUAGUUGGCAAGACGACAACGAUGCUACGAUGGAGAUCAAGGUGUCACGUCGGUGACGAUGGUGAUCAUGACGGUGCUUUGGAGAUGGAGAUCAAAGGCACAAGAUGAUGAUGGCCAUAUCAUAUCACUUAUAUUGAUUGCAUGUGAUGUUUAUCCUUUAUGCAUCUUAUUCUGCUUUGUUUGACGGUAGCAUUAUAAGAUGAUAUCUCACUAAAUUUCAAGGUAAAAGUGUUCUCCCUGAGUAUGCACCGUUGCCAAAGUUUGUCGUGGCGAGACACCACGUGAUGAUCGGGUGUGAUAAGCUCAACGUUCAUCUACAAUGGGUGUAAGACAGUUUUACACACGCAGAAUACUCGGGUUAAACUUGACGAGCCUGGCAUAUGCAAAUAUGGCCUCAGAACACUGGAGACCGAAAGGUUGAGCAUGAAUCAUAUAGUAGAUAUGAUCAACAUAAUGAUGUUCACCAUUGAAAACUACUCCAUCUCACGUGAUGAUCGAACAUGGUUUAGUUGAUUUGGAUCACGUGAUCAUUUAGAUGACUAGAGGGAUGUCUAUAUAAGUGGGAGUUCUUAAGUAAUAUGAUUAAUUGGACUUAAAUUUAUCAUGAACUUAGUACCUGAUAGUAUUUUGCUUGUCUAUGUUAUUGUAGAUAGAUGGCCCGUGCUGUUGUUCCGUUGAAUUUUAAUGCGUUCCUUGAGAAAGCAAAGUUGAAAGAUGAUGGUAUGAAUUACACAGACUGGGUCCAUAACUUGAGGAUUAUCCUCAUUGUUGCAUGGAAGAAUUACGUCCUGGAAGCACCGCUGGGUGCCAGGCCUGCUGCAGGUGUUGCUGAUGAUGUUAAGAACGUCUGGCAGAGUAAAGCUGAUGACUACUCAAUAGUUCAGUGUGCCAUGCUUUACGGCUUAGAACCAGGACUUCAACGAUGUUUUGAACAUCAUGGAGCGUAUGAGAUGUUCUAGGAGUUGAAGUUAAUAUUUCAAGCAAAUGCCCGGAUUGAGAGAUAUGAAGUCUCCAAUAAGUUCUAUAGCUAUAAGAUGGAGGAGAAUAGUUCUGUCAGUGAACAUGUACUCAAAAUGUCUGGGUAUCAUAACCACUUGACUCAAUUGGGAGUUAAUCUUCCUGUUGAUAGUGUCAUUGACAGAGUUCUUCAAUCACUGCCACCAAGAUACAAGAGCUUCGUGAUGAACUAGAAUAUGCAAGGGAUGAAUAAGACAAUUCCCGAGCUCUUCGCAAUGCUAAAGGCAGCGGAGGUAGAAAUCAAGAAGGAGCAUCAAGUGUUGAUGGUCAACAAGACCGCCAGUUUCAAGAAAAAGGGUAAAGGGAAGAAGAAGGGGAACUUCAAGAAGAACGGCAAGCAAGUUGUUUCUCAGGAGAAGAAACCCAAGUCUGGACCUAAACCUGAGACUGAGUGCUUCUACUGCAAACAGACUGGUCACUAGAAGCAGAACUGCCCCAAGUAUUUGGCGGAUAAGAAGGAUGGCAAGGUGAACAAAGGUAUAUGUGAUAUACAUGUUAUUGAUGUGUACCUUACCAGAGCUCGCAGUAGCACCUGGGUAUUUGAUACUAGUUCUGUUGCUAAUAUUUGCAACUCGAAACAGGGACUACGGAUUAACCGAAGACUGGCUAAGGACGAGGGGACGAUGCGCGUGGGAAAUGGUUCCAAAGUCGAUGUGAUCGCUGUCGGCACGCUACCUCUACAUCUACCUUCGGGGUUAGUUUUAGACCUGAAUAAUUGUUAAUUUGUGCUAGCGUUGAGCAUGAACAUUAUAUCUGGAUCUUGUUUGAUGCGAUACGGUUAUUCAUUUAAAUCUAAGAAUAAUGGUUGUUCUAUUUAUAUGAGUAAUAUCUUUUAUGGCCAUGCACCCAUGAAGAGUGGUCUAUUUGUGUUAAAUCUUGAUAGUAGUGACACACAUAUUCAUAAUGUUGGAGCCAAAAGAUGCAGAGUUGAUAAUGAUAGUGCAACUUAUUUGUGGCACUGCCGUUUAGGUCAUAUUGGUGUAAGGCGCAUGAAGAAACUACAUACUGAUGGACUUCUGGAAUCACUUGAUUAUGAAUCACUUGGUACUUGCGAACCAUGCCUCAUGGGCAAGAUGACUAAAAUGUCGUUCUCCGGAACAAUGGAGUGAGCAACAGACCUGUUGGAAAACAUACAUACUGAUGUAUGUGGUCCGAUGAAUAUUGAGGCUCGCGGCGGGUAUCGUUAUUUUCUCACCUUCACAGAUGAUUUGAGCAGAUAUGGAUAUAUCUACUUAAUGAAACAUAAGUCUGAAACAUUUGAAAAGUUCAAAGAAUUUCAGAGUGAAGUGGAAAAUCAUCGUAACAAGAAAAUAAAGUUUCUACGAUCUGAUCGUGGAGGAGAAUAUUUGAGUUACGAGUUUGGUCUACAUUUGAAACAAUGCGGAAUAGUUUCGCAACUCAUGCAACGUGGAACACCAUAGCGUAAUGGUGUGUCCGAACAUCGUAAUCGUACUUUACUAGAUAUGGUGCGAUCUAUGAUGUCUCUUACUGAUUUACUGCUAUCGUUUUGGGGUUAUACUUUAGAGAUGGCUGCAUUCAUGUUAAAUAGGGCACCAUCUAAAUCCGUUGAGACGACUCCUUAUGAACUGUGGUUUGGCAAGAAACCAAAGUUGUCAUUUUUUAAAGUUUGGGGUUGCAUGCUUAUGUGAAAAAGCUUCAACCUAAUAAGCUCGAACCCAAAUCGUAAAAAUGUGUCUUCAUAGGAUACCCAAAAGAAACAGUUGGGUACACCUUCUAUCACGGAUCUGAAGGCAAGACUUUUGUUGCUAAGAAUGGAUCCUUUCUAGAGAAGGAGUUUCUCUCAAAAGAAGUGAGUGGGAGGAAAGUAGAACUUGAUGAGGUAACUGUACCUGCUCCCUGAUAACCCACAAGUAUAGGGGAUUGCAACAGUUUUCGAGGGUAAAGUAUUCAACCCAAAUUUAUUGAUUCGACACAAGGGGAGCCAAAGAAUACUCUCAAGUAUUAGCAGCUGAGUUGUCAAUUCAACCACACCUAGAAACUUAAUAUCUGAAGCAAAGUAUUUAGUAGCAAGGUAAUAUGAUAGUAGUGAUAACGGUAACAAAUGGUAACGGUAGUAAAAGCAAUGUUUUUGGUAUUUUGUAGUGAUGAUAGCAAUAGCAAUGGGAAAGUAAAUAAGCGAAGAACAAUAUAUGGAAAGCUCGUAGGCAAUGGAUCGGUGAUGGAGAAUUAUGCCGGAUGCAGUUCAUCAUGUAACAGUCAUAACCUAGGGUGACACAGAACUAGCUUCAGUUCGUCAAUGUAAUGUAGGCAUGUAUUCUGAAUAUAGUCAUACGUGCUUAUGGAAAAGAACUUGCAUGACAUGUUUUGUCCUACCCUCCCGUGGCAGCGGGGUCCUUACGGAAACUAAGGGAUAUUAAGGCCUCCUUUUAAUAGAGAACCGGAAAAAAAUCAUUAACACAUAGUGAAUACAUGAACUCCUCAAACUACGGUCAUCACCGGUAAGUAUCCCGAUUAUUGUCACUUCGGGGUUAACGGAUCAUGACACAUAAUAGGUGAGUAUAGACAUGCAAGAUAGGAUCAAGAACACUCAUAUAUUGAUGAAAACAUAAUAGGUUCAGAUCUGAAAUCAUGGCACUCGGGCCCUAGUGACAAGCAUUAAGCAUAGAAAAGUCAUAGCAACAUCAAUCUCAGAACAUAGUGGAUACUAGGGAUCAAACCAUAACAAAACUAACUUGAUUACAUGAUAGAUCCCAUCCAACCCCUCACCGUCCAGCAAGCCUACGAUGGAAUUACUCAUGCACGGCGGUGAGCAUCAUGAAAUUGGUGAUGGAGGAUGGUUGAUGAUGACGAUGGCGACGGAUUCCCCUCUCUAGAGCCUCGAACGGACUAUAGAUCGACCCUCCCGGGAGGUUUUAGGGCUUGGCGGCGGCUCCGUAUCGUAAAACGCGAUGAUUUCUUCUCUCUGAUUUUUUCUCCCUGAAACUCAAUAUAUGGAGGUGGAGUUGGAGUCGGAGAGGCAACAGGGGGCUUACAUAUAAAAGAUACUUGAAUAAGAGUUUUUCAAUGAAAUACCUCGGUGAAGCUGCUUACAUAUUGGGCAUCAAGAUCUAUAGAGAUAGAUCAAGCCGCUUAAUUGGACUUUCACAAAGGACAUUCCUUGACAAAGUUUUGAAGAAGUUCAAAAUGGAUCAGGCAAAGAAAGGGUUCUUGCCUGUGUUACAAGGUGUGAAGUUGAGUAAGACUCAAUGCCCGACCACUUCAGAAGAUAGAGAGAAAAUGAAAGAUGUUCCCUAUGCUUCAGCCAUAGGCUCUAUCAUGUAUGCAAUGUUGUGUACCAGACAUGAUGUGUGCCUUGCUAUUAGUUUAGCAGGGAGGUACCAAAGUAAUCCAGGAGUGGAUCACUGGACAGCGGUCAAGAACAUCGUGAAGUGCCUGAAAAGGACUAAGGAUAUGUUUCUCGUUUAUGGAGGUGAGAAAGAGCUCAUCGAAAAUGGUUACGUUGAUGCACGCUUUGACACUGAUUCGGGCGAUUCUAAAUCGCAAACCGGAUAUGUGUUUAUAUUGAACGGUGGUGCUGUUAGUUGGAGCAGUUCUAAACAGAGCGUCGUGGCGUGAUCUACAUGUGAAGUGGAGUACAUUGCUGCUUCGGAAGCAGCAAAUGAAGGAGUCUGGAUGAAGGAGUUCAUCUCUGAUCUAGGUAUCAUACCUAGUGCAUCGGGUCCAAUGAAAAUCUUUUGUGACAAUACUGGUGCAAUUUCCUUGGCAAAAGAAUCCAGAUUUCACAAGAGAACCAAGCACAUCAAGAGAUGCUUCAACUCCAUCCAGAAUCAAGUCCAGGUGGGAGACAUAGAGAUUUGCAAGAUACAUACGGAUCUGAAUGUUGUAGACCCGUUGACUAAGCCUCUUCCACGAGCAAAACAUGAUCAGCACCAAGGCUCCAUGGGUGUUAGAAUCAUUACUGUGUAAUCUAGAUUAUUGACUCUAGUGCAAGUGGGAGACUGAAGGAAAUAUGCCCUAGAGGCAAUAAUAAAGUUAUUAUUUAUUUCCUUAUAUCAUGAUAAAUGUUUAUUAUUCAUGCUAGAAUUGUAUUAACCAGAAACAUGAUACAUGUGUGAAUACAUAGACAAACAGAGUGUCACUAGAAUGCCUCUACAUGACUAGCUCGUUGAUCAAAGAUGGUUAUGUUUCCAAGCCAUAGACAUGAGUUUUCAUUUGAUUAAUGGGAUCACAUCAUUAGGAGAAUUAUGUGAUUGACUUGACCCAUUCCGUUAGCUUAGCACUUGAUCGUUUAGUAUGUUGCUAUUGCUUUCUUCAUGACUUAUACAUGUUCCCAUGACUAUGAGAUUAUGCAACUCCCGUUUAUCAGAGGAACACUUUGUGUGCUACCAAACAUCACAACAUAACUGGGUGAUUAUAAAGGUGCUCUACAGGUGUCUCCGAAGGUACUUGUUGAGUUGGCAUAUUUCGAGAUUAGGAUUUGUCACUCCGAUUGUCGGAGACGUAUCUCUAGGCCCACUCAGUAAUGCACAUCACUAUAAGCCUUGCAAGCAUUGUAACUAAUGAGUUAGCUGCGGAAUGAUGUAUUACGGAACGAGUAAAGAGACUUUCCGGUAACAAGAUUGAACUAGGUAUUGAGAUAUCGAUGAUCGAAUCUCGGGCAAGUAACAUACCGAUGACAAAGGGAACAACGUAUGUUGUUAUGCGGUUUGACCGAUAAAGAUCUUCAUAGAAUAUGUCGGAGCCAAUAUGAGCAUCCAGGUUCCGCUAUUGGUUAUUGACCGGAGACGUGUCUCGGUCAUGUCUACAUAGUUCUAGAACCCGUAGGGUCCGCACGCUUAAAGUUCAGUGACGAUCGGUAUUAUGAGUUUUUGUGUUUUGAUGUACCGAAGGUAGUUCGGAGUCCCGGAUAUGAUCAUGGACAUGACAAGGAGUCUCGAAAUGGUCGAGACGUAAAGAUCGAUAUAUUGGACGACUAUGUUCGGACACCGGAAAGGUUUCGGACAUAUACCAGAGUACCGGGGGGUNNNNNNNNNNNNNNNNNNNNNNNNNNNNNNNNNNNNNNNNNNNNNNNNNNNNNNNNNNNNNNNNNNNNNNNNNNNNNNNNNNNNNNNNNNNNNNNNNNNNNNNNNNNNNNNNNNNNNNNNNNNNNNNNNNNNNNNNNNNNNNNNNNNNNNNNNNNNNNNNNNNNNNNNNNNNNNNNNNNNNNNNNNNNNNNNNNNNNNNNNNNNNNNNNNNNNNNNNNNNNNNNNNNNNNNNNNNNNNNNNNNNNNNNNNNNNNNNNNNNNNNNNNNNNNNNNNNNNNNNNNNNNNNNNNNNNNNNNNNNNNNNNNNNNNNNNNNNNNNNNNNNNNNNNNNNNNNNNNNNNNNNNNNNNNNNNNNNNNNNNNNNNNNNNNNNNNNNNNNNNNNNNNNNNNNNNNNNNNNNNNNNNNNNNNGGGCCUUAGUGGAAAUAGAGGGCAGCAAGGGGAGUGUGGCCCCCCCCCAAGACCAAACCAAAUUGGUUUAGGGCAAAGGGGGUCGGCCCCCUCUUUCCUUCUCCUCCUCUCCCUUUCCUUCCCGCUCUCCUACUCCUACUAGGAAAAGGAGGAGUCCUACUCCUAGUGGGAGUAGGACUCCCCCUCUUGGCGCGCCUCUCCCUGGCCGGCCGCCUCCUCCCCCUUGAUCCUUUAUAUACGAGGGCAGGGGGCACCCCAUAGACACAACAAUUGAUCAUUGAUCUCUUAGCCAUGUGCGGUGCCCCCCCCCCUCCACCAUAAUCCACCUCGAUCAUAUCGUAGCGGUGCUUAGGCGAAGCCCUGCGUCGGUAGCAUCAUCAUCACCAUCACCAUGCCGUCGUGCUGAAGAAACUCUCCUGUGAAGCUUUGCUGGAUUGGAGCUCGCGGGACAUCAUCGAGUUGAACGUGUGCUGAACUCGGAGGUGCCGUGCGUUCAGUACUUGGAUCGGUCGGAUCAUGAAGACGUACGACUACAUCAACCGCAUUGUGCUAACGCUUCUGCAUUCGAUCUACGAGGGUACGUGGACACACUCUCCCCUAUCGUUGCUAUGCAUCACCAUGAUCCUAUGUGUGCGUAGGAAAUUUUUUUGAAAUUACUAUGUUCGCCAACACGGGCAUCCUCGGUCCGCACCCCACCCGCCCACAGGCGCACUUCGCCGCUGCCCCGUACCAGGUGACGGGCGGCGGCUACCCGGCGAGUGGAGGUGGCUACCUGCAGGCGCUCACGCCUAAGCCGGGCGGCUAUGUGCCACCCCCCACGCCAAUCCAGCCCGAAGGUUACUCCCUCCCGCCGGCCCCGUGGGACCCUGCACUUCUCGCUGCUCUGCACUCGGCGCCGUCUCCCUCCACCUACGGAGGUGGCGGUGAUUGGUACAUGGACACGGGGGCUACCACCCACAUGACGUCGCACCCCGGUAACCUUGCUUCCUCCUUUCCGAUCAUCACCUCGAACCGCAUCACCUUCGGUGAUGGUUCUUCCGUACACAUUACUCAUGUCGGUCAUAGUUUCUUUUCGUCUAAUUCUAUGCCUAUUAACAUGACUAAUGUUCUUGUCUCACCUAACCUAGUUAAAAAUCUUGUCUCCAUUCGUCGUCUUGCACGUGACAAUCCUCUCACCGUUGAAUUUGAUGGUCCUGGUUUCUUUGUGAAGGACGCUCGUACACAGAUGGUACUCCACCAAUGUGACAGCCCAAAUGACUUAUAGCGAGUGCACUCCGGCUCCACCGCCACCGCCACCACCUCUCCGGUCGCCCUCUCCACCAGUGUCUACCUUUGGCAUGCACGCUUGGGUCACCCCAACUCCACCGUCCUUUGUCAGAUUCUCGAAAAAAUUCAUUUUCAUGUAAUAAAUUCGACGAGCACACUUGUCAUGCUUGCCAUCUCGGUAAACAUGUUCGUCGACCCUUUAGCGAGUCAAACACUAUUUCUACUUUUCCGUUUCAGUUAAUUCAUAGUGAUGUAUGGACAUCUCACUACUGGAAUCAUCUUCUUUGCCGUCCGCCAUGGCAGACGGCAAAGGCAUAGAUGGCGGACGGCAAAGUUCUUUGCCGUCAACCAGCUGACGGCAACAGGUCCGGCUGAAUAGGCUACGACAAAGGCUUCUUUGUCGUCAGCUGGCGGACGGCAAAGAUGAAACGGUCUUUGUCGUCAGCCGGCUGACGGCAAAGGUCCUGGAUGGCACACGUGACAACGUCUGGCCGUUAGGGGGCUAACUGUGAGCUUUGUCGUCAGCUGGCGGACGGCAAAGACCAUUGCACCUUUGUCGUCAGCCAGCGGACGGCAAAGUAACCAAAUAGGACAGCCCCCAGGCUAUACAGGGAGCUGCCAUGUGGCAUCUUUGCCGUCCGCUGGAGGACGGCAAAUUUCUUUGCCGUCCGCUGGAGGACGGCAAAUUUCUUUGCCGUCCGCCAGCGGACGGCAAAGAUCCUGUAUAGCCCUUGUUUUUUGUGUUUUUUCUUAAAUUCAUUCAAUUUGAACACACAAGUUUGAACGCACAAAUUUCAACACACAAAUUUCACAAAAGACGUAUCCAACACACAAGUUUCAUCAUAUAUACAUACAUAACCAACACAUAGUUCCAUCCAUACAUAUUACAAAAGUUUCACAUUGUUCAUCCAACACCGUUAUCCAUCCAUCCAUGCAAGUUCAUCGAUACAAAAUAAAAGCAGAAAGGGAAAAGAAGCACUACAUCCAUGCAAGCUUUCAUGAAUUAAAUGAGAUCUACAAAAUGGGAAACAAGAAAGUUAGAAGAAGAAGAAGAAGAAAAUGAAGAAGAAGAAGAAGAAGACUGGAAUAAGAAGUCAGCAUACUUAGGUAAAAUGGAGCUAACCUAGCUAAUUAUGCCAUCUUUGAGUGAACUAAGCAUAUUAUGCCAUCUUGGUCAUUUUGGAGCUAACCUAGGUAAACUAGGUCAUUUUGGAGCUAACCUAGGUAAAGUUGGUCAUUUUGGAGCUAACCUAGGUAAACUUGGUCAUUUUGGAGCUAACCUAGGUAAAUUAGGUCAUUUUGGAGCUAACCUAGGUAAACUUGGUCAUUUUGGAGCUAACCUAGGUAAACUAGGUCAUUUUGGAGCUAACCUAGCUAAAAUGGAUCAUAUUGGAGCUAACCUAGGUAAACUUGGUCAUUUUGGAGCUAACCUAGCUAAAAUGGAUCAUAUUGGAGCUAACCUAGGUAAACUUGGUCAUUUUGGAGCUAACCUAGGUUAAAUGGGUCAUUUUGGAGCUAACUUAACUAAUUAUGCCAUUUUUGAGUUAACUAAGCAUAAUUAUGCCAUUUUUUACACAAGUAAGCCAAGUGUAUGUCAUUAUUGAGCAAACCUAGGAAACUAAGCAUAUUAGAGAUAACUUAGCAUAUUAGAGCUAACUUAUGUCAUUUCGGAGGAAACAAAGCUAAGUAUAUAUAGAUCAUUCUGGAGAUCUGACAUACCUGACAUAGUUCACUCCUCAUUCUUCUUCUCCUUCUCCUUCCUCAUCCUGAUGCGCCAAGAGCGGCGAGGCGGUGGAGGUAGUGGGAUGUAGUCUUCUACCACAAUUGGCAUGGUCAUGUCGCCCGGCUGUGGGAUCGCCGGUGCCACCACCAUCGCGAGGUCAUUGUCAGGCACCGCCACCAUCGCGAGGCCAUCUUCAGGAAGCACCAUCGCUAGGUCAUCCUCGGCCACCACCAUCUCUUGCCCAUCGUCAGCCACCACCAUCGCUACGUGAUCCUCAGCCACCACCAUCUGUUGCCCAUUGUCAGCCUGCACCUCCUCAUCCCCACUCUGCUCCUCUUCUUCCCCACUCCAUUCCAGAUCAUCCUCGCUGCUACUUUUUCUGCAGCUAGAGUCGCUGCUGCUUUGGCUGUAGCCAGAGUCGCUACUGCUGCUCCCAUUGCCUGACCAAAUGUAACAAUGACCGUUAACAAUCGAUGUGAGACAAAGCAAAAUGUAGAGGAAGAAUAGGCAGAAUGUACUGGCAUCAUCGUCGUCCUGGUAGUGCAUGCGACACAUAGUCGUGUUGAACACCUUCACGGUGAGCAUGGCGUCGCCGUCGUACCUGAAGAGAAGGAAGUACCCGUGCCGCGGGUCAUAGGCAUGGUAGAACUGCUCCCAGCCACGACACAGGUACAUGUGGCCGUACCUGAUCACCAACUCCAUGUCCCAAAGCCUGCGAAGCCCGCUGUCGGCCUGUCGCAGCUUCACAUUCUUUGGCCGAUGGCCGUCUAGCAUCAUCAUAAAAGUGCCAGGAAGCCUCUGCAGUUUGGGAGAAGGAGUGAUGUAGCAAACAACAUAGUUAUCAUAAUGAGAUGGGUGAAGGGGAGAUCUCUCCUUUUAUAUACCUGCCUCUUGGAGGAAGUCCCAAGUAUGAUAUUGAAGAACUCGAAAGCAUCCAACUCGUACUCCGGUGUGGCAGAGCGGAGCCUGCGGUGACGGCCUCCCCCCAUCUCUAAUAAGCAACAGAAGAGACCAAUUAGUAUCUAGCUAGAAGCAUAUCUAUAAACAUAGAGCCAAGUUUCUAGACAUGAAAGAAAACUGAGAAAAAAAGCAAUGCACUUGUGCUCAACAACAUCAACAACACUUAAUUAAUUUGGUAGGUUAGUUGGCAAUGGCAAUUGGCACCCUUCAAAACUAGGAAUUUCUUCAGACGUGAAAGAAAACUGAAAAUGUUGAAAAAAGAGCAUAGUAAUCUAAAAAUAGGGAAAAAUACACUUCUUCUUCCUCCUCUUUAUCUUCUUCUUCUUAUUUUUUUCAUCUUUCUUCUUUCUUCUUAACCAAAACUAAACCUAAAGUUCGUUGUGGUGUGAUCACACUGGAAUACUUGUGGCAACAAUCAUAGUUGCACCAUAUUUUAGGUGGCUCUAGGUGCCACACACCAAGCAAACAAACAUACCUCAAAUAAGAAACUAAGGGUAGUGUCCUAAAAUCAAUUUACUUUGUAUGCAAAUCAGAACAAGCUAGUACCACAUCACAUUACCAUAGGAUCCUAUUACAGAAAAGGUAUGUAAAUGCAAGCUGGGGUAAGACAUUAUAACCAUACUACAAUCUUAUACUUGCUCAACUAUGAUCACAGGAGACGCAACUAACAUAUGAGUUUGAGGCACACACACCUCAAUAAUGAUGUUGCCACUUGCCAGGAAUGUGACCGUCGCAGUCACUCCGAUCAACACGACCUCCUGUUUAGAUUGAGAUUAUGCUUUCAUGCCUAUGCUAGUGAGAAAGGCACGCUAGACUUUCCUUCGGCUUGCUGAAUGUAUAGUUUGCCUUUCCGCAAAAAAGAAAAGAAAAAGACGAGUAUAGUUUGCCUCUUAUGACAGAUUCCAUAAGCAAUAUGCAUGCCUUGUUGUUUUCUCAAAUUAAACUAAUUCGAGUGUUGCUGAUUACUUCAACAGGUUCAUGCUUAAUUAUUUCAAUAUUAUUUAAAAUGCUUUAUUAUGUGUUGUUCUUGUAGGGAGCAAAAUUAUCAUACUAUAGGGAACUUAUCUAGUUAUAUUAAUAUCGCUGAGAUGAUAUCUCCUGAAAAAAGUAACACUGCAUACUCAAGUGUGAUCAGCAGCUGGAUUAUACACCAUGCUUCACAUCAGUGCACCAGCACCGCAUUUCAGUAGCAGGCUACGCAUCUUGAGCUACUGGUGUGUAUCAGCAAACUAUCAGGUUCUAUUCGCACGGACCCUAAGAACUUCCAAGUCUGGAUGAGCUAUCAUAAUCAAUUCUUGCACUGCAAUAUAAGGCUCUCUGCUCUAAACCUAAACUAAAGUAAACCUAAACUAAACCAAACCUAAAGUAAGCCUAAACUAAACUUAAAAUAUAGAAACAAAAACAUAAAAAAUGCAAGAGGUCUCACCGGGUGGAGGAGGGGGCGCUGGAGGGGUGGGCGGCCGCGGUGGUGGAGGAGAGGGGCGCCGGGGCGGUCGGAUGGAGGAGGGGGCGCCGGAGCGGCGGGGCGGCCGCGGUGGUGGAGNNNNNNNNNNNNNNNNNNNNNNNNNNNNNNNNNNNNNNNNNNNNNNNNNNNNNNNNNNNNNNNNNNNNNNNNNNNNNNNNNNNNNNNNNNNNNNNNNNNNNNNNNNNNNNNNNNNNNNNNNNNNNNNNNNNNNNNNNNNNNNNNNNNNNNNNNNNNNNNNNNNNNNNNNNNNNNNNNNNNNNNNNNNNNNNNNNNNNNNNNNNNNNNNNNNNNNNNNNNNNNNNNNNNNNNNNNNNNNNNNNNNNNNNNNNNNNNNNNNNNNNNNNNNNNNNNNNNNNNNNNNNNNNNNNNNNNNNNNNNNNNNNNNNNNNNNNNNNNNNNNNNNNNNNNNNNNNNNNNNNNNNNNNNNNNNNNNNNNNNNNNNNNNNNNNNNNNNNNNNNNNNNNNNNNNNNNNNNNNNNNNNNNNNNNNNNNNNNNNNNNNNNNNNNNNNNNNNNNNNNNNNNNNNNNNNNNNNNNNNNNNNNNNNNNNNNNNNNNNNNNNNNNNNNNNNNNNNNNNNNNNNNNNNNNNNNNNNNNNNNNNNNNNNNNNNNNNNNNNNNNNNNNNNNNNNNNNNNNNNNCGGGGCUGCUGGGGCGGCGCGGCGACGGGGGUGCCGCGGGGCGGCGGCGGCACAGGGGCGGGGUGGCGCAGGGCGGCGGAGGCUCGGGUGCGGGUGGAGAGAGAGAGGGGACAGAGAGAUGGGGCGGGGGCGGGCGUCGAUGGAUUUUAGUUAGGGCACGGUUAUUUUCCGUCCGCCAGCAGACGGCAAAGAUCCUAGCUAACGGACGUUAGCUUGGCCACUUUCUUUGCCGUCUGCUAGCGGACGGCAAAGAAAGUGUCCGUUAGGUGGUUCUCGGUAGUGGGCCACCCUCAUUCUUUGCCAUCCCGGACGACAAAGAUUCUAUGUCGUCUGCUGGCGGACGGCAAAGAGUUGGCUAACGGCAAAUAGCGUUUUUGCCAUCAGCCCUUUCUUUGUCGUCCGCUUUGUGGAAGCGGACGGCAAAGAGGCUCUUUGCCGUCAGCUGGCCGACGGCAAAGAGGAGGCAGACGACAAAAUGCCAGAUUCUAGUAGUGUCUCCCUUUGCAAGCCACACAGGUUUCUUAUAUUAUCUUGUUUUACUUGAUGAUUUCUCUCAUUUUGCGUGGACGUUUCCACUCCCUCGCAAAUCCGAUGUCCUCGCCACCCUCACGACUUUUUACUCCUAUAUCACCACCCAGUUCGGAUGCCCUAUUCUCGCCCUCCAGACUGACAACGGAAAAGAGUUUGGCAACGCUGCCACUCGCCACCUUCUCGCGUCUCACGGCACCACUUUUCGUCUCACGUGCCCCUACACAUCCCAGCAGAACGGCCGCGCCGAGCGGAUUCUCUGCACUCUUAAUGAUUGUGUCCGCACGUUGUUGUUCCACUCCAACGUGCCCCUCGGUUUUGGCCCGACGCUCUCGCCACCGCCACUCUCCUAGUUAACAUCAGGCCAUGUCAUUCCCACUGGAAAUACACUCCGCACCAACUUCUCUUUGGUUCCCCUCCAUACUACGAUGGUCUCCGUAUCUUCGGUUGUCUGUGUUACCCAAGCACCGCCUCCACUACACCACACAAACUCGCCCCUCGCUCUGUAGUGUGUAUCUUCCUAGGCUAUCCCCCUAACACCAAAGGUUACCGGUGCUACGACCCCGUCUCCCACCGUGUGUACACCUCCCGACACGUGUACUUUGAUGAGCGGGUAUUUCCUUUUCACCAGGUACCACCUUCUGCAGAGGAUUCGACGCUCUUUGGCGGUGUUUCGGACGCGGCCCUGGUGCAGUCCCUGGCGUGGCUCCCUGCGGCCCUUCCCGGCGCGGCCUUGGUGCGCCCUUCCAUGGCGGCUCCCCAGGCCACGGGCCCCUCUGCCUCGGCCCCUGUUGCGGGCCCCUCUGCCGCGGCCCCCGCUGUGGGCCCCUCGGCCUCAGUCCCAGCGCGGCCCCCCGUGGCCUCGGGUGGCCUUCGGCUCCCACCCGACGGGUGCCGCGGCCAGUUCUACCGCACCGGCUGGCCCCGCUGCAACACUGAGAGCGACGGACUCUUCGCCACCCUCGUCCUUUGCUCCUGCCGCAGCCGACCCACCUCCCACUGGCAUGUUGACGCGGUCUCGCGCCGGUAUCCAUCGGCCCAGCAUGCGCAUGCCACUGAUGAGUAUGCGUGUGCGGUGUCGACACCGUCCUCUCCAUCGUCGCCCAUCCCCUUGUCUGCACGCGCCGCCCUCCGUGAUCCACAUUGGCUCGUCGCGAUGCGCGAAGAGCUUGAAGCGUUGCAGUGCAACCGUAACCGUACGUGGCAUCUUGUUCCGCGACCCCCUCACGCCAACGUCAUCAGUGGCAAAUGCGUGUUUCAUCACAAGACCAACCCUGAUGAUUCUCUCGAGCGCUACAAGGCUCGCUAGGUGGUGCGCGGCUUUUGCCAGCGCGCCGGCGUGGACUUUGUGACACCCCAAAAAUUUGGCCUUGUUUUAUUAAAUUAAAAUUUUUGCCAGGAAUUAAAACUUUGGAUUUUUGAGCUCCACUUUUGAUUUUUUUUAAAUCAUUUCCUUCCCUGUUAUGAUGAGUUUUUUUUUCUCCAAAAAGAAAACUUUUCAAAAAUGUUGUUGGACUUGUUUUAACCUCUCAAGAAAAACUUUCCUUUUAUCAGUGUAACUAAUUAAUAAUUAUGUUGCUUGAUCUUUAUUUUCUUGAAAAGGGUUUUUCUAGGUUAAAUGGCCAUAUUUGAACUGCAACCAUUUGAUAGAUUCACUUAAAAUUUCCACAAAAAUUUGGAGAUGUCAUGUGAUGUUUUUAAAUCACUUUUAUGCAAAAAUAUAUUUCAUUCACUAAAUAUUUUGAGCCCUACUCUCAAUUUUUCUUCUCUGGUCCAGAGUGCAUUUUGCACUACAACCUAUUUAAAUAUUUCUUUAAUACUCCUACCAAAAUUAGGGGAGGUCAGUAGGAGCCUAUUAUUCCACUUUGUGCAAAAAUCCAGGGUUGUUCUUUGAAAAUAUUGAGUGAAUCAACCUCAUUUCCAUUCUGGACCAACUUGAGGAUUUGUACAGCAACCACCAUUUUAGUUGCUCCUAUACCCUUAAUUAUUUCUUCUACUUGUAGUCCCCCAUGUUAAACCCUUAAGUCCAGGAGCAUGCACCAUUUAGAUCAUUUUUGGUUCAUGGAAUAAUGCUAUUUAUUUUCUGUCCAGAAAUGUAGUUUUGCAAAACUUGCACUAGCAAGUUUCCCCUUUUGUCCUAAUAACCACACCACUUCCUCUUUCAUCCACAGAGACACUGAUCUGGAGAUUUUGGCCACUCCAAGAAAUGCCCAAGUGCCCUUGGCAUUUUGUCAAACACCUGGUGUGCAUGGCCAGUUUUGACAUGAUUUUGUCUUUGCAUUGUGACCUUGAGCCUUGGAUCAUACCAGCUUGUCCAAUAGUUUUGCCUUAGACUAUAACCCCACCCUGCUAAAUCCCAGCUCCAACCAAGCGCUCUGGAGUGCCAUGGCAUUUUGUCGAGCACAUUCAGUGCGUGCACUGGACGCGCCCAGAGCGCGCAUAUUGCACCCGUGCACCGAGCCGACACGCUGGCCCCCACGGCUUUGGCCCGCUCUGCAGAACCUUGCCGCGCACUCCCUUUCUCUCCACUACGCGCCAAGCAGCCCCCGCCGCGCCCGGCAGGCCAAGCGCUAGCCGCCGCCGCCCGACAGCCCUGCGCCGUUCAGCGCCGCCCAAGCCUCGCCCGCUCGCCACCUGGCCCUUGGAGCAGUGCGAGCUCAUCCGCAAGCGUGUCUGCUAGCCCUCGUCGCCGCCACGUCGCCCUAGCUACAGAACGUCGGUUCGCCGAAGAGCUUAUCCACGGCCGCCGCGGAACCGCCUUGCCACGCUAUAAAAGGGAAGCCCCGAGCGUCUCCAAGCCCUCAGGUAGCCUCAUGUCGUCUCACUAGCGCCCCCAUCGCCACCAAUUGGAAGGGAGCAGGUCUUCUUCAACCUCUCCGGUCAGUUCGGCCACCGCCGCCUCCCGGCUCCAUUCGGCGCAACCAGAGCUUCCUCCUCUCCGUUCUCUUCACCAGGAACCAUCUCAUCCUCCCGUGAACUCGUUCCCCUGCUUGAUUUUGAUCGGGAGCCGUCGCCACCACAAACUCACUUUGUCACCGAAGCUUCCCUCCGCCGCGGAGCUCGCCGCCGGCGAUUUACUCCUUCCCCAGCAACCCCUCGACCACCGGGAGAACCGCCCCAGCCGUGCGGAUCCAUCCCCACCCUCGGGGGCCCGCGAGGAACAGCCAAACGCCGGCGACGAUCGCCGGAGCCCGCUCCGCUCGGGCAGAGGAGGGAGACGACGCGCGGCGACUGGUCAAACCUGACCAGUGGGCCCCUGGACCCACUGUCAGCGACCCCGCGCCGUCCACGCUGGAGUAAGUGGAGGCGUCAUACCCGUAAUACGUCUUCUCUGCGCGAAAGCGUAAUCGCUUCAAAACGUUUUCUUUUCUGUUUUAAUUUAAUAACAGAUUUGACCAAAUCUUUGACUAGCUAUAACUUUUUAAAUAUAAGUCCAAAUGAAAUGAUUCUUUUUCCUACCUUCCUCAUAUUUGAUCUAGUUUAUUUUAAGAUUUAUUUGAAAAAAAUUCAAACAACUUUUUGGUUCUGUUUUUGAAAUAUGUGUUAAUUCAAAUAUAAUUUCAAAUAGGAUUUUGGGGAAAGAGAAGAAAACUUUCAAAAGUUUGGAGAGCACCCUGCCUUUCCACACAUUGAAGGCAAGCAUUCUGAAUCCCGGCAUAAUAUUUUUGGAGUGAUCGUUGAUGCAUUUAUAACACCACCGCAUUUCGAAGGACUUGUUAUUUCAUGUGAUAUGAUCAUAUGCAUGGGUGCAUGUUACUGAUUUCCAUGUUGUUGGUAAUGGAUACACUUGUGAUGAUAAUCACCCUCAUGAGCUUUACAUGCAUACCGGCAGGAAACCGGGAAAACCUCUGCCUUGGGUAGGUAUGAGUUUGUCGCCGGUCUCCGUCGGGACGGUUCUGUCUGGUAUGGCAUGGUAAGGUGAUAUGAGUGGUGACUCUGUUUGAUGAAAUAUAUUUGUUAUACUAAUCAUGCAGGGAAUACUUGAACCUCCUGAGUCGACCGUAGAUCGAGUCUUGUUCCAGUAACCCCCAUACUUGUUUCGUACUACCACUCGUCUCUACAGCAAGUAGAGUACGGUUCAGUAAGUUGUCAACCUCUUCUAGCACACACCGUACAGAGAGGCCAUGGUGGAAGAUACUGGUUGUAACUGGUAGGCAGGCCACCUGGUCCGGGGGCAUGGGUGUUUCCGGUUGGGACCGAGAGGGGAGGCCACCCCUUAGAGCGCGCGAUAUAAAUUUGAUCCCAUGCUACGCGAGGUUGUAGCCUCCCCACUUAGAGUUUGCUUAACAGGUGUCGUGGGUGAUUCCAGACACGUGUGUGAUAAGCUGGUGUGUGCAAGUUAGGUGUGUUUUCAACAAAAAGACCGUAGAUGGAAUUAGUCCCGAUGGACUAAAGAAAUCCGUUACUCGUGGGUAAAGAGUACACCCUCUGCAGAGAAUAAACCUAUUCGAAUAGCCGUGUCCAUGGUUAAGGAUUACAGUCUGGGAUGGGUCAAGUAUCGGUCUUAGUGUCGGUCUUCGGAGGUGAAACUAUUAAUCCAGAAAUGGAAUUACUACUUGUGACUGGUGAUAACUAUGAUUAUUAUUAUUGUUGACUAACCCAUGAUAUUAUUGUUAUUAUCGUGUAUCUCUGGGAUGGUUCUACCUCUGGGAUAUUCACUAUGUUUGUUUCUUUUAAAGCCCUUUAUGUGGCGUCGCCCAGACGCCCGACUGUGGCAUUUCUUCUAAAGCCCUUUAUGUGGUGUCGCUCAGACGCCCGACUGUGGCAUUUCUUUUAAAGCCCUUUAUGUGGUGUCGCCCAGACACCCGACUGUGGCAUUUCUUUUAGAGCCCUUUAUGUGGUGUCGCUCAGACGCCCGACUGUGGCAUUUCUUUUAAAGCCCUUUAUGUGGUGUCGCUCAGACGCCCGACUGUGGCAUUUCUUUUAAAGCCCUUUGUGUGGUGUCGCUAAGACGCCCGACUGUGGCAUUGCUUGUUAUUUAUUUCAUAUAACUUUUAUACUACUAUGUCAUUACAAUUUUAUAAAUAACAUGCUUGCACGCAUCCGAGAUUUAAUAUAUUUUGUGACUGACGUCGUGAGCAUAAAAAUAUUUUUAGCACAUCAUUGUUAUAUUGUACAUGUGUUCAUAAUGUUUGCGAGUACAUUCAAAGUACUCACUGGCUUGUCCCUGGCUAUUGUCUUGGCCAGAUUUCCUUGCACGGAGAGGAGCAACGCGAUGCCAGCCCCGAAACACACGCAAUGGAGAUAGCAGCCUCGUGAAGAUAGGAAUUAACCUGGUCAGCUGUUCCCGUGGGAAAUGGAGUCCCAUAGACACUGACGUUUCACAACCCGCUUCCGCCAUCAACCACUAGAAAGCAUUUGUUGUACUCACAGGCCAGAAUGGUCUUGUACUACAUAUUUUGUAUUUUGCUUGGAAUUUCUGUAUCAAGAUGGAGCCUCAUCAGCUAACAGUAAUCCUGGGGCUGAUGAGCACGACGGUCUUUUCCGGAAAUUGACUACCUGGAAAACCCGGUCGUGACAGACUUCGCCGACACCUUCGCCCCGAUCAUUAAACCGGGCACGAUACGCACAGUGCUUCAGCUGGCAGUCUCCUGUGCAUGUCCCGUGCAUCAGUUGGAUGUCUCCAACGCAUUUUUGCAUGGCCACCUCACGGAACAGGUCUUCUAUGAGCAGCCGACUGGCUUCGUCGAUGUCGAGCAUCCCGACCAUGUCUGCUUGCUCUCUCGGUCUCUUUAUGGACUGAAGCAGGCCCCCCGGGCAUGGUACCUGCGUAUGGCUGGGUUCUUGCAGCAGCUUGGGUUUCGCACAAGUCUCUCUUCGUCUACCAUUAGGGCACUACUACUGCGUACCUGCUGCUCUAUGUGGAUGACAUCAUCCUAAUGGCAUCCUUAUUGGUAACAUAGUAAUUUCAAAAAAAUUCCUAUGCACACGCAAGAUCAUGGUGAUGCAUAGCAACGAGAGGGGAGAGUGUCAUCCACGUACCGUCGUAGACCAUUAAGCGGAAGCGUUAUGACAACGCGGUUGAUGUAGUCGUACAUCUUCACGAUCGACUGAUCCUCGGUACCGAACGUACAGCACCACCGUGUUCAGCACACGUUCAGCUCAGUGAUGUCCCGCGAACUCACGAUCCAGUAGAGGUCGAGGGAGAGUUUUGUCAGCACGAUAGCAUGGUGACGAUGUUGAUGAAGCUACCGUCGCAGGGCUUCGCCUAAGCACUGCUACAGUAUGAUCGAGGCGGAUUAUGGUGGAGGGGGCACCGCACACGACUGGGAGAGAUCAAUGAUCAACUUGUGUGUCUUGGGGUGCCUCCCUGCCCCCGUAUAUAAAGGAGCAAGGGGGAGGCGGCCGGCCAGGAGGAGGGCGUGCCAAGGGGGGACUCCUACUCCCACCGGGAGUAGGACUCCUCCUUUCCUAGUAGGAGAAGGAGAAGGGGAAAGGGAAGGAGAGAGNNNNNNNNNNNNNNNNNNNNNNNNNNNNNNNNNNNNNNNNNNNNNNNNNNNNNNNNNNNNNNNNNNNNNNNNNNNNNNNNNNNNNNNNNNNNNNNNNNNNNNNNNNNNNNNNNNNNNNNNNNNNNNNNNNNNNNNNNNNNNNNNNNNNNNNNNNNNNNNNNNNNNNNNNNNNNNNNNNNNNNNNNNNNNNNNNNNNNNNNNNNNNNNNNNNNNNNNNNNNNNNNNNNNNNNNNCCCCCCCCGCCUCCCCUUCCUUGUCCAAUUCGGACUAGAGGGGGAGGGGGCACGCUGCCUGACCUGACUACCCCUCCUCUUCUCCACUAAGGCCCAAUAGGCCCAUUACAUCCCCCGGGGGUUCCGGUAAUCCCCCGGUACUCCGGUAUAUGUCUCAAACCUCCCGAAACACUUCCGGUGUCCGAACAUAGUCAUCCAAUAUAUCGAUCUUUACGUCUCAACCAUUUACAGACUCCUCGGCAUGUCCGUGAUCAUAUUCGGGAAUCCGAACUACCUUCGGUACAUCAAAACACAAAAACUCGUAAUAUCGAUCGUCACAGAACUUUAAGCAUGCGGACCCUACGGGUUCGAGAACUAUGUAGACAUGACCGAGACACGUCUCCGGUCAAUAACCAAUAGCGGAACCUGGAUGCUCAUAUUGGUUCCUACAUAUUCUACGAAUAUCUUUAUCGGUCAAACCGCAUAACAACAUACGUUGUUCCCUUUGUCAUCGGUAUGUUACUUGCCCGAGAUUUGAUCGUCGGUAUCUCAAUACCUAGCUCAAUCUCGUUACCGGCAAGUCUCUUUACUCGUUCUGUAAUGCAUCAUCCCGUAACUAACUCAUUAGUCACAUUGCUUGCAAGGCUUAUAGUGAUGUGCAUUACCGAGAGGGCCCAGAGAUACCUCUCCGACAAUCGGAGUGACAAAUCCUAAUCUUGAUCUAUGCCAACUCAACAAGUACCAUCGGAGACACCUGUAGAGCACCUUUAUAAUCACCCAGUUACAUUGUGACGUUUGGUGGCACACAAAGUGUUCCUCCGGUAUUCAGGAGUUGCAUAAUCUCAUAGUCAUAGGAACAUGUGUAAGCCAUGAGGAAAGCAAUAGCAACAAACUAAACGAUCAGCGUGCUAAGCUAACGGAUGGGUCAAGUCAAUCACACCAUUCUACUAAUGAUGUGAUCCCGUUAAUCAAAUGACAACUCAUGUCUAUGGCUAGGAAACUCAACCAUCUUUGAUCAACGAGCUAGUCAAGUAGAGGCAUACUAGUGACACUAUGUUUGUCUAUGUAUUCACACGUGUAUUAUGUUUCCGGUUAAUACAAUUCUAGCAUGAAUAAUAAACAUUUAUCAUGAUAUGAGGAAAUAAAUAAUAACUUUAUUAUUGCCUCUAGGGCAUAUUUCCUUCAGUCUCUCACUUGCACUAGAGUCAAUAAUCUAGAUUACACAGUAAUGAUUCUAACACCCAUGGAGUCUUGGUGCUGAUCAUGUUUUGCUCGUGGAAGAAGCUUAGUCAGCGGGUCUGCAACAUUCAGAUCCGUAUGUAUCUUGUAUAUCUCUAUGUAUCCCACCUGGACUUGAUCCCGGAUGGAAUUUCAGCGUCUCUUGAUGUGCUUGGUUCUCUUGUGAAAUCUGGAUUCCUUUGCCAAGGCAAUUGCACCAGUAUUGUCACAAAAGAUUUUCAUUGGACCCGAUGCACUAGGUAUGACACCUAGAUCGGAUAUGAACUCCUUCAUCCAGACUCCUUCAUUUGGUGCUUCCGAAGCAGCUAUGUACACCGCUUCACACAUAGAUCCCGCCACGACGCUUUGUUUAGGACUUCUCCAACUGACAGCUCCACCGUUCAAUAUAAACAUGUAUCCGGUUUGCGAUUUAGAAUCGUCCGGAUCAGUGUCAAAGCUUGCAUCGACGUAACCAUUUACGACGAGCUCUUUGUCACCUCCAUAAACGAGAAACAUAUCCUUAGUCAUUUUUAGGUAUUUUAGGAUGUUCUUGACCGCUGUCCAGUGAUCCACUCCUGGAUUACUUUGGUACCUCCCUGCUAAACUAAUAGCAAGGCACACAUUAGGUCUGGUACAUAGCAUUGCAUACAUGAUAGAGCCUAUGGCUGAAGCAUAGGGAACACUUUUCAUUUUCUCUCUAUCUUCUGCAGUGCUCGGGCAUUGAGUCUUACUCAACUUCACACCUUGUAACACAGGCAAGAACCCUUUCUUUGCUUGAUCCAUUUUGAACUUUUUGAAAACUUUAUCAAGGUAUGUGCUCUGUGGAAGUCCAAUUAAGCGUCUUGAUCUAUCUCUAUAGAUCUUGAUGCCCAAUAUAUAAGCAGCUACUCCGAGGUCUUUCAUUGAAAAACUCUUAUUCAAGUAUCCUUUUAUGCCAUCCAGAAAUUAUAUGUCAUUUCCAAUCAGCAAUAUGUCAUCCACAUAUAAUAUCAGAAAUGCUAUAGAGUUCCCACUCACUUUCUUGUAAAUACAGGCUUCUCCAAAAGUCUGUAUAAAACCAUAUGCUUUGAUCACACUAUCAAAACAUUUAUUAAAACUCCAAGAGGCUUGCACCAGUCCAUAAAUGGAUCGCUGGAGCUUGCACACUUUGUUAGCUCCCUUUGGAUCGACAAAACCUUCUGGUUGCAUCAUAUACAACUCUUCUUCCAGAAAUCCAUUCAAUGCAGUUUUGACAUCCAUUUGCCAAAUUUCAUAAUCAUAAAAUGCGGCAAUUGCUAACAUGAUUCGGACAGACUUAAGCAUCGCUACGGGUGAGAAAGUCUCAUCGUAGUCAACUCCUUGAACUUGUCGAAAACCUUUCACAACAAGUCGAGCUUUGUAGACAGUAGCAUUACUGUCAGCGCCAGUCUUCUUCUUGAAGAUCCAUUUAUUCUCGAUGGCUUGCCGAUCAUCGGGCAAGUCAACCAAAGUCCAUACUUUGUUCUCAUACAUGGAUCCCAUCUCAGAUUUCAUGGCCUCAAGCCAUUUGCGGAAUCUGGGCUCACCAUCGCUUCUUCAUAGUUAGUAGCUUCAUCAUGGUCUAGUAACAUGACUUCCAGAACAGGAUUACCGUACCACUCUGGUGCGGAUCUUACUCUGGUUCACCUACGAGGUUCGGUAGUAACUUGAUCUGAAGUUUCAUGAUCAUUAUCAUUAGCUUCCUCACGUAUUGGUGUAGGUGUCACAGGAACCGAUUUCUGUGAUGAACUACUUUCCAAUAAGGGAGCAGGUACAGUUACCUCAUCAAGUUCUAUUUUCCUCCCACUCACUUCUUUCGAGAGAAACUCCUUCUCUAGAAAGGAUCCAUUCUUAGCAACAAAUGUCUUGCCUUCGGAUCUGUGAUAGAAGGUGUACCCAACAGUCUCCUUUGGGUAUCCUAUGAAGACACAUUUCUCCGAUUUCGGUUCGAGCUUAUCAGGUUGAAGCUUUUUCACAUAAGCAUCGCAGCCCCAAACUUUAAGAAAUGACAACUUUGGUUUCCUGCCAAACCACAGUUCAUAAGGAGUCAUCUCAACGGAUUUCGAUGGUGCCCUAUUUAACGUGAAUGCAGCCGUCUCUAAAGCAUAACCCCAAAAUGAUAGCGGUAAAUCAGUAAGAGACAUCAUAGAUCGCACCAUAUCCAGUAAAGUACGAUUACGACGUUCGGAUACACCAUUACGUUGUGGUGUUCCGGGUGGCGUGAGUUGCGAAACUAUUCUGCAUUGUUUCAAAUGUAGACCAAACUCGUAACUCAAAUAUUCUCCUCCACAAUCAGAUCGUAGAAACUUUAUUUUCUUGUUACGAUGAUUUUCCAAUUCACUCUGAAAUUCUUUGAACUUUUCAAACGUUUCAGAUUUAUGUUUCAUCAAGUAGAUAUACCCAUAUCUGCUCAAAUCAUCUGUGAAGGUGAGAAAAUAACGAUACCCUCCGCGAGCCUCAAUAUUCAUCGGACCACAUACAUCAGUGUGUAUGAUUUCCAACAAGUUUGUUGCUCGCUCCAUUGUUCCGGAGAACGACAUUUUAGUCAUCUUGCCCAUGAGGCAUGGUUCGCAAGUACCAAGUGAUUCCAGAGGUCCAUCAGUAUGGAGUUUCUUCAUGCGCUUUACACCAAUAUGACCUAAACGGUAGUGCCACAAAUAAGUUGCACUAUCAUUAUCAACUCUGCAUCUUUUGGCUCCAACAUUAUGAAUAUGUGUGUCACUACUAUCAAGAUUUAACACAAAUAGACCACUCUUCAAGGGUGCAUGGCCAUAAAAGAUAUUACUCAUAUAAAUAGAACAACCAUUAUUCUUAGAUUUAAAUGAAUAACCAUCUCGCAUCAAACAAGAUCCAGAUAUAAUGUUCAUGCUUAACACCAAAUAACAAUUAUUCAGGUCUAAAAGUAAUCCCGAAGGUAGAUGUAGAGGUAGCGUGCCGACGGCGAUCACAUCGACUUUGGAACCAUUUCCCACGCGCAUCAUCACGUCGUCUUUAGCCAGUGUUCGCUUAAUCCGUAGUCCCUGUUUCGAGUUGCAAAUACUAGCAAUAGAACCAAUAUCAAAUACACAGGUGCUAUUGCGACCUCUAGUAAGGUACACAUCAAUAACAUGUAUAUCACAUAUACGUUUGUUCACCUUGCCAUCCUUCUUAUCCGCCAAAUACUUGGGGCAGUUCCGCUUCCAGUGACCAGUCCCUUUGCAGUAGAAGCACUCAGUCUCAGGCUUAGGUCCAGACUUGGGUUUCUUCUCUUGAGCUGCAACUUGUUUGCCGUUCUUCUUGAAGUUCCCUUUCUUCUUCCCUUUACCCUUUUUCUUGAAACUGGUGGUCUUGUUGACCAUCAACACUUGAUGCUCCUUCUUGAUUUCUACCUCUGCAGCUUUUAGCAUUGCAAAGAGCUCGGGAAUUGUCUUAUCCAUCCCUUGCAUAUUAUAGUUCAUCACGAAGCUCUUGUAGCUUGGUGGCAGUGAUUUAAGAAUUCUGUCAAUGACACUAUCAUCCAGAAGAUUAACUCCCAGUUGAAUCAAGUGAUUGCAGUACCCAGACAUUCUGAGUAUAUGUUCACUGACAGAACUAUUCUCCUCCAUCUUGCAGCUGUAGAACUUAUUGGAGACUUCAUAUCUCUCAAUCCGGGCAUUUGCUUGAAAUAUUAACUUCAACUCCUGGAACAUCUCAUAUGCUCCAUGACGUUCAAAAUGUCGUUGAAGUCCCGGUUCUAACCCGUAAAGCAUGGCACGCUGAACUAUCGAGUAGUCAUCAGCUUUACUCUGCCAGACGUUCUUAACGUCAUCAGCAGCAUCUGCAGCAAGCCUGGCACCUAGCGGUGCUUCCAGGAUGUAAUUCUUCUAUGCAGCAAUGAUGAUAAUCCUCAAGUUACGGACCCAGUCCGUGUAAUUGCUACCAUCAUCUUUCAACUUUGCUUUCUCAAGGAACGCAUUAAAAUUUAACGGAACAAUAGCACGGGCCAUCUAUCUACAAUAACAUAGACAAGCAAAAUACUAUCAGGUACUAAGUUCAUGAUAAAUUUAAGUUCAAUUAAUCAUAUUACUUAAGAACUCCCACUUAGAUAGACAUCCCUCUAAUCAUCUAAGUGAUCACGUGAUCCAUAUCAACUAAACCAUAACCAAUCAUGACGUGAAAUGGAGUAGUUUUCAAUGGUGAACAUCUCUAUGUUGAUCAUAUCUACUAUAUGGUUCAUGCUCGACCUUUCGGUCUCAGUGUUCCGAGGCCAUAUCUGCAUAUGCUAGGCUCGUCAAGUUUAACCCGAGUAUUCUGCGUGUGCAAAACUGUCUUACACCCGUUGUAGAUGAACGUUGAGCUUAUCACACCCGAUCAUCACGUGGUGUCUCGGCACGGCGAACUUUGGCAACGGUGCAUACUCAGGGAGAACACUUUUACCUUGAAAUUUAGUGAGAGAUCAUCUUGUAAUGCUACCGUCAAACAAAGCAAAAUAAGAUGCAUAAAGGAUAAACAUCACAUGCAAUCAAUAUAAGUGAUAUGAUAUGGCCGUCAUCAUCUUGUGCCUUUGAUCUCCAUCUCCAAAGCACCGUAGUGAUCACCAUUGUCACCGACGCGACACCUUGAUCUCCAUCGUAGCAUCGUUGUCGUCUCGCCAUCUAUUUCUUCUAUGACUAUCGCUACCGCUUAGUGAUAAAGUAAUGCAAUUAUAGGGUGAUUGCAUUGCAUACAAUAAAGCGACAACCAUAUGGCUCCUGCCAGUUGCCGAUAACUCCGUUACAAAACAUGAUCAUCUCAUACAAUAAGUAUAGCAUCAUGUCUUGACCAUAUCACAUCACAACAUGCCCUGCAACAAGUUAGACGUCCUCUACUUUGUUGUUGCAAGUUUUACGUGGCUGCUAUGGGCUGAGCAAGAACCGUUCUUACCUACGCAUCAAAAUCACAACGAUAGUUCGUCAAGUUAGUGUUGUUUUAACCUUCUCAAGGACCGGACGUAGCCACACUCAGUUCAACUAAAGUUGGAGAAACUGAAACCUGCCAGCCACCUGUGUGCAAAGCACGUUGGUAGAACCAGUCUCGCGUAAGCGUACGGGUAAUGUCGGUCCGGGCCGCUUUAUCCAACAAUACCACCGAACCAAAGUAUGACAUGUUGGUAAGAAGUAUGAAUUGUAUCGCCCACAACUCACAUGUGUUCUACUCGUGCAUAUAAUAUCUACGCAUAAACCUGGCUCGGAUGCCACUAUUGGUAACGUAGUAAUUUCAAAAAAAUUCAUACGCACACACAAGAUCAUGGUGAUGCAUAGCAACGAGAGGGGAGAGUGUCGUCCACGUACCCUCGUAGACCAUUAAGCGAAAGCGUUAUGACAACGCGGUUGAUGUAGUCGUACGUCUUCACGAUCGACCGAUCCUCAGUACCGAACAUACGACACCUCCGCAUUCAGCACACGUUCAGCUCGGUAACGUCCCGCGAACUCACGAUCUAGUAGAGGUCGAGGGAGAGUUUCCUCAGCACGACGGCGUGGUGACGAUGUUGAUGAAGCUACCGUUGCAGGGCUUUGCCUAAGCACCGCUACAGUAUGACCGAGGUGGAUUAUGGUGGAGGGGGGCACCGCACACGGCUGGGAGAGAUCAAUGAUCAACUUGUGUGUCUUUGGGGUGCCUCGCUGUCCCCGUAUAUAAAGGAGCUAGUGGGGAGGCGGCCGGCCAGGAGGAGGGCGCGCCAAGGGGGGAGUCCUACUCUCACCGGGAGUAGGACUCCUCCUUUCCUAGUAGGAGUAGGAGAAUGGGAAAGAGAAGGAGAGAGGAGGAAGGAAAGGGGGAAGUCGCCCCCCUUCCUUGUCCAAUUCGGACUAGAGAGGGAGGGGCGGGCGGCCUGCCCUGGCCGCCCCUCCUCUUCUCCACUAAGGCCCAAUAGGCCCAGUACAUUCCCCGGGGGGUUCCGGUAAUCCCCUGGUACUCCGGUAUAUGUCUGAAACCUCCAGAAACACUUCCGGUGUCCGAACAUAGUCAUCCAAUAUAUCGAUCUUUACAUCUCGACCAUUUUGAGACUCCUCGUCAUGUCCGUGAUCAUAUCCGGGACUCCGAACUACCUUAGGUACAUCAAAACUCAUAAUACCGAUCGUCACAGAACUUUAAGCGUGCGGACCCUAUGGGUUCGAGAACUAUGUAGACAUGACCGAGGCACGUCUCCGGUCAAUAACCAAUAGCGGAACCUGGAUGCUCAUAUUGGUUCCUACAUAUUCUACGAAGAUUUUUAUCGGUCAAACCGCAUAACAACAUACGUUGUUUCCUUUGUCAUCGGUGUGUUACUUGCCCGAGAUUCAAUCAUCGGUAUCUCAAUACCUAGCUCAAUCUCGUUACCAGAAGUCUCUUUACUCAUUAUGUAAUGCAUCAUCCCGUAACUAACUCAUUAGUCACAUUUCUUGCAAGGCUUAUAGUGAUGUGCAUUACCGAGAGGGCCCAGAGAUACCUCCCCGACAAUCGGAGUGACAAAUCCUAAUCUUGAUCUAUGCCAACUCAACAAGUACCAUCGGAGACACCUAUAGAGCACCUUUAUAAUCACCGAGUUAUGUUGUGACGUUUGGUAGCACACAAAGUGUUCCUCCGGUAUUCAGGAGUUGCAUAAUCUCAUAGUCAUAGGAACAUGUAUAAGUCAUGAAGAAAGCAAUAGCAACAAACUAAAUGAUCAUCGUGCUAAGCUAACGGAUGGGUCAAGUCAAUCACACCAUUCUACUAAUGAUGUGAUCUUGUUAAUCAAAUGACAACUCAUGUCUAUGGCUAGGAAACUCAACCAUCUUUGAUCAAUGAGCUAGUCAAGUAGAGGCAUACUAGUGACACUAUGUUUGUCUAUGUAUUCACACAUGUAUUAUGUUUCCGGUUAAUACAAUUCUAGCAUGAAUAAUAAACAUUUAUCAUGAUAUGAGGAAAUAAAUAAUAAAUUUAUUAUUGCUUCUAGGGCAUAUUUCCUUCAAUCCUCGCCUCGGCUCCUUCAGCAGCUCACGGCUCGUCUUCGUGAUGAGUUUGCCCUCAAGGAUCUGGGAGUGCUGCACUACUUCCUUGGCAUUGAGGUCGUUCGCCGUGCCGAUGGGUUCUUUCUGCAUCAGCAGAAGUACGCUCAUGAGCUUCUCGAGCGCGUGGGUAUACUUAAUUGCAAGACCGCCCCCACACCUGUUGACACCAAGGCGAAGGUCUCUGCUUUGGAGGGUUCUCCUGCGCCGGAUGUCGCGUUCUACCGCUCCAUCAUCGGCGCCCUGCAGUAUCUCACCCUCACUCGGCCUGACUUGCAGUAUGCAGUCCAGCAGGUGUGCCUCCACAUGCACUCUCCGUGUGAUUCCCACUGGACUCUGGUGAAGCUUAUUCUUCGGUACAUACGCGGCACUAUGAACCUGGGACUCACCCUGACGGCAUCCUCCUCCAUCGACAUGGUCGCCUACUCCGAUGCUGACUGGGCUGGCUGCCCGGACACGCGUCGCUCUACGUCAGGCUAUUGUGUCUACCUCGGGCCCUCGCUGAUUUCGUGGUCGUCCAAGCGGCAGCCCACGGUCUCUCGCUCGAGUGCUGAGGCGGAGUAUCGGGCAGUGGCUAACGCCGUUGCUAAGUGCUCUUGGCUCCGUCAGCUUCUCCAGGAGUUGUUUUGUGUGGUCCCUAAGGCCAUGAUCGUCUACUGCGACAACGUCUCCGUCGUCUAUCUCUUCGCCAACCCCGUCCACCAUCGCCGUAUGAAGCAUAUUGAGCUCGACAUUCACUUCGUUCGCGAGCAGGUGGCUCUCGGGAAGGUUCGUGUUUUGCACGUUCCUACCACUUAGCAGUUUGCCUAUGUCAUGACUAAGGGACUACCGACCCCAGUCUUUGAGGAGUUUCGGUCCAGUCUAUGUGUCUCCGGNNNNNNNNNNNNNNNNNNNNNNNNNNNNNNNNNNNNNNNNNNNNNNNNNNNNNNNNNNNNNNNNNNNNNNNNNNNNNNNNNNNNNNNNNNNNNNNNNNNNNNNNNNNNNNNNNNNNNNNNNNNNNNNNNNNNNNNNNNNNNNNNNNNNNNNNNNNNNNNNNNNNNNNNNNNNNNNNNNNNNNNNNNNNNNNNNNNNNNNNNNNNNNNNNNNNNNNNNNNNNNNNNNNNNNNNNNNNNNNNNNNNNNNNNNNNNNNNNNNNNNNNNNNNNNNNNNNNNNNNNNNNNNNNNNNNNNNNNNNNNNNNNNNNNNNNNNNNNNNNNNNNNNNUGUUGAGUGUACGUUGUCCACUGCAUAUGUAUAGGACUUGGGUUUGUAUUUAUACCGUUGUAUCUCUCUCUCCCCCUCAUAUAUUUGUACAUCUUGGGAGACAAAUAGAAGCCGGUCCACCCUGUACCUAUAUAUGUGCACCAUGCACACGAUCAAUGAUUAUCGAUUCAUGCAAUCUCAUUCUUUCUAACUAACAGAGAGAUCCCAAAGCUCAGCUAUAUUAAAUUUUUAAGAGGAAUGGAGUGACCCAAUCAGAUGUGAACUUAAAAACCAGGUUUGUUGACUGUUUCUUGUCCCUCCCUUCCCUCACAAUCCAGCUUCUGUUCUGCGCAGUCAUCAGUAACAUCUUAGUUGUAAGUAAAUUUUCUUUUGAGUUUGUAGACUGCUUGAAGCAAUCAGAGCCAAUCAUAAAAUCAAUUUGCAGACAGAUGUGAAUUUUACCUAGUCCUAUUUGGUAUACUGGUCGUGUUUCCGCGAACGGGUUGGUACAACUAAUUCCUGUACGUUUAUCUUACCAAAAUCCAACCACACCCAUAUUAUCUGACCUGUGAUUGAUUUUGACCCAACAUUUGAAAAAUUUGCUGGACAAGUUGGUGAACAGGAGUGCUAGCCAUAAAUAUGCAUGGAAGAAUAUCAGGGACCAUUAAAAAAAAUGGGUGCGUCUCAUAUCGUUGUCGAUUUAUUUUGGAUAAAUUGACCUUGUCCUGGUAUGUAGAUUCAAAGGAGGAUAAUUAACCUUAUCUUGGUAUUGAUGAGUAUGACAUAGUGUUCACCAAUAACUUGAGCCGACAGAAACCAUGGACGACACGCGUUCAAUCAGCCACCUACUUAUGCUUGAAUUUCUUUCCCUGGAGUACUGCACAUACAUAUUUGUCAGUUGAGUUUUGAAGGAAGAGAUGGAACAUGACACCUGGAUAUACAUGCUCGUAUCGCAACAGUGUAGAGGCAUAAAAAAUCAGUAAAUAAACAAUUUGGACAUGGCUAGUUCCAUGCAUGGUUAAAGUACUAAACUUUGCUAUUUCGUCAAAAAAAAAAACUAUUUCGUCAAGUACUAAACUGUGAAGAAGCUCUGCUCAUCAGUGAUCACCUGGAUAUAUGGAAUCCUUAAUUUUCAGUCUAUUGCAGCUUGCACAGCAUAAUCUUCUUCAGAUAAGAAGCCAGGAAAAGCGCACAAAGCACAUUUGCAGUCAAGCUAGUUCUAAUUUUCUCCACAUUGUUUGACGAAUCGUCUCAAUCUAAACCUGUCUCUUUCAGAAAGGGCAAAAAAAACGCAUUCUGCAUGAAAAGGAACACGUGCUACUAAAAGAAGCAGUAUGUUGAACAGAAGAAUUAUUUGCUGUUAACAUGCGGUGCCUGGUUUUUCUUUCUAGUAAGCGAUGUGUUGUGAACUGUGGUUGCUUUCAGACUCCGGAUAUUGACGCCAUGCAAUCAAAUUUGCUCUUAGUUUAGCAAGUUCAGACUUGGGUGAGAAAUCAACAGAGCAACUACGGAUCAAACUAGGUGCAAAACUACGAAAACAGACAGGACAGAAAAAGCACAAUUUCAAAGACUUCAGAGUUUAUAGAAUAAUAACAAGGAACAUUUUCAAACAAAAAGGACCAAAAAAUUUGAAAUUGAUACGUAUUUGGUAGGGGCCGCGCGAACGCGUACCCCCUCUAUCACAAAUUAUGACGUCCACUCUCCCUCAAAGGGGAGAUGGUAAGCCAGCGCGCCCACAAAGUGCAAUGUCGGCCACUAGCCUAGGCCAUGACUCUUCUUGAUCAGCCAUAGACCCCGUCCAGGUAAGUGAGUUUAAAGGUAGCCCAAUGCCCUGUUAAUAUGAUGCGCUGCCUCUGCUACCUCCCUCGACAGGCGAUGUGGUACUAAACGAAAAGAAUGUAUGCCUCGCCUGGUGCUCUCUGCGGCUUUCCAGGACGAGGAGUUCGAACGGGCCACUGUGUAUGGGCCUAUUGGCAUCGGAAAAAGAAAAGAGUUAACCGGGUUGCCAAGUCCCAAGAGGAGCAGAGGCUGAGAACCGAGAUGGGAUAGGAGAUGCGUAGAUUCUGUCAAACUGUCAAACGGAGAACGAUGACAGGUCAAACUUGUCGCCGAAUACCGCCACGGCUGCGUGAUCCUCUAUCGUUUAUUCCCCCUUUCCAGGUGAGCUUCAGAACUGUUCCUUCCUUGAUUAGGAGGAUGCAAAUCGAUAGGUUUUUCUGUGCUAACGACCAAAUGAAUGUCAGUCAAUCAAUGUGCUGAAGAAGACUGCGCCAGUGUAUUUGAAAGGGCUGUCCGUGCACGGUCCUCUGCUCUGAAGUCAUACGCACUUGCCGUCAGGCUCCGCACCUGCAGCAGCUCAACGAAGUGUGCAAUUUGUAGGCAGGGAAGUUUCAGAAAAAGUGUGCAAUUUACAGGCAGGGAGACGGAAGAAGUUAGCUCAUGCAUCUUCCUCCAUCCAGACGCUCUCAUUUCGCCUUUUUGCUUCCACUUUACCCAGAAGACUCUCCACCACAUUCAAAUCGACGACGACUUCCAGGCUGCAAAAACCUCUGAACUCUGAACUCUGAAGAACCUCAGUCUAGCGUCAGGACUCUGUGCCGCCACGCACUGAAGUCUUUAUCCUCCUCUUUAUUCGUUUCUUGCCAAGGGCAGUGCCUUUUCUCCAAUGCAAAGAAUGGCUCGCCGGAGUUCGAGACGCGUGGUAAUCUGCCUGCACUUUCACGACACCGUACGGUUCUACAGUACUACACUGAAACUGUUUGUUCUUCUCACCUCUUCUUUGUGAUAUUGACCCCCUUAUCUCCCACUCUUUUGAACUAAAGAAGCACUGUCAUUUCUUGUUAGCAUGCGUGGCUAGGGUUACGUACUAAACAUAGCGCGUUAUUUCUGAAGAUGUCCACGGAAUAUGUAAUGCACCCAGCUGUUUCAACGCCCUUAUAAAAGGCACAUAUAUGUCCCCGUUCGCAUCAAGUUAAUUGUGACGACGAUCACAAAAGUAGGUAAGAACAAGAAAGUCAAUAGUUCAUGUACCUAGGUAUGUUCUACUGGUUGCAAAGUAACCGAUCGACAAACUCGGACUUGAGAUGGAAAAGUUGCAAAGCUUGGACACCUCAUGUUUACCACUACAGUUCUUGUGUCCAUACUUCACAAUACUCUGUAUGAAAACAAAGAACCCGUGCCACGAGACAUGUAAUGAAUGAAUGUGUUGAAUGGUGAAAAUUGCUUCCUGUCAACGCAUGAUUAAUUCCUGGUCUCCUCUUCUAAAUCUAAUGAGUAGACUGAACGCUUGCAUGUUUACGAGGAACGUGGAAUUCUGAUCACAGGAUCGUUCCCCGUUUUGUGGUUGUUGAGAGAUCCCAAAACUAAGCUAUAUUUAAUCUACAAGAGGAAUACAGCUACGCAGUUCUGAUGUGAACUAAACCAGGCUUAUUGACAGUUUCUUCUCUCUCCCUUCCCUCACAAUUCUGAUUCUGUUCUGCACAGUCAUCAGCAUCUCAGUUGUAAGCAAAUUUUUCUUUUGAGUUUGUAACUUGGUUGACGCAAUCAGAGCCAAUCAUACAAACAGUUUGCAGACAGAUGUAAAUUUUACCGAGUCUUUUUUGGUAUACUUUAUGCAACUACUAAGUCUUGUUUCCGCAAACGGGUAGGUACAACUAAUUCCUGUAUGUUUAUCUUACUAAAACCCAACCACAGCCAUAUUAUCUGACCUGUGUUGAUUUUGACCCAAGCUACCAUCAUUGGAAAAGUUGGUGGGUAAGUUGAUAAAAGGGAUUACUAGCCAUAAACGUGCAUGGAAGAAUAUCAGGACAAUAAAAAAAGGGAUCAUCUCAGAUUUGUUGUCUGAUUUAUUCUGGAUAAAUUGACCAUAUCCUGUUGUCUAUAUUCAAAGGAGGAUGAAUUGACAUUAUCCUGGAUUCCUGGUAUCCAGAAGUAUGACAGUGUUCAACAAUAACUUGAACGGACAGAAAUCAUGCACCAUAAAAGUUCAACCAGUCACCUACUUAUGCUUGGAUAUCUUUCGAUACCCAUACUUGCCUCAGACCAUUGCACAAAGCCUAAAAAGUUCAGUAAAUAAACAAAUUUGCACAUGGCUAAUGCUACGGUUAAGUACUGGAAGAAGCUCCCUCUUUAUGCUAUCACCUUCCCAGAUUGGAGGUGAUUUCCUCGGUGUGGACGAGGACGAGGCCCGGAUAAGAGGUGUCAUUGCUGCCUCGCUCACUGCUACUGCACCGCGUUGGCGGAUUUUGGUCUCGUCUAUUUACAGAACUUCGUGAAAUGCAUGCUGUCGUUAUUAUUCAGAUUUUGCAGCUUGCACGGGAUAAUCAGGAAAAGUACAGAAAGCACAUUUACAGUCAAACUAGUUCAAUUUUUUCUCCUCGUAGUUUAAACCUGUCUCUUUCACAAAGGGAAAAACCGAAUUCUGUAUGAAAGGGAGCACGUGCUACUAAAAGAAGCAGUAUGUUGAACAGAAGAAAUCUUUGGUGUCAACUUUCGGUGCCAGGUUUUUCUUCUAGUAAGCCCGGGUUCUUUUUCUAGUAUAUAUAAGCAAUCUGAUGUGAACUGUAGUUGUUCUUCAGACUUCAGAGAUUGACGCCGUGCAGUCAAAUUUUGGACAGUUGGACUGGCUAUUUUAAGAAAAGAAAAAGGUUAGGCUAUCAGCAAUUUCACCUCUCGCAUCUCAUUACCAGUAUGAUCUUCACCUCUACCAUAUCAUUACCAGUAUGCUCGCUCUUAGUGCAGUUCAGACUUCAGUGCGUACUGGUAAUACAUAGCAGACAAUAGAAACAAGCCCAAGGUCACUGAAAACCUUUUUUAGAGGAAAAGACCACUCUCCCACAGACCAAGGAUCAAACUCCCAAACAGAAUGUGCGAAUAUUAAACACAUUUGGCCCAAGUACAACACUGUAAAUCACAAAGACCAAAACUUAAAAUUUAUAUUUUGCAGGGGCCGCGCGAACGCGUACCCCCUCUAUCACAAAUUACGACGUCCACUCUCCCUCAAAGGGGAGAUGGUAAGCCAACGCACCCACAAAGUGCGAUGUGGGCCACUAGCCUAGGCCAUGGCUCUUCUUGAUCAGCCAUAGACCCCGCCCAGGUAAGUAUGUUUCAAAGUUGCCCUAUGCCCUGCUUUUAUAGGUUGCGCUGCCUACGCUGGCUGCUUGGACAAGCGAUGUGGUACUAAACGAAAGAAAGCAUGCCUCGCCUGGUGUUUGUUGCGGGUUUCCGGGAAGGACGGCGUGUAUGGGCCUGUUGGUACCAACCGGGCUGUUUUUAUGGGUUGGACUGGAAGCCCAUGCACCAUAUGUAUGAGUCUGACGCUGCUGGCCCGUCAGAUCGACAUCAACGGGGAAGAAACCGUAUGAGUAAUCACAUGCUCAAAUGCUAAAAAAGAAGAGUAAUCACACGUUCAAAGGCAUCCUUUCACAAAGAUUUGACAAAAACCCUCAGAAGCUGAAGUUUGCACAAAUUCUUUUACUGACCACACUUCUUUAGCCAAGGAGGAAUUAACAUAGUGCCCAUUUUUUAACUCAAAAAUAAACAGAUGGAUCUCUUCGAUUCUUGGUGCUACUGUUGGUAGCAAAAGAACAAUGCCGUUCAAAUCAGGCAGCGAUAAUACUUGUUGGUCGGUACAAACACUGAAGGUGCUAGCAUGAUGUUUUUACAUCUUACGUUUAAGGCCCUAAAAAUAUAUGCAUGUAAUCACCUUUGACGUAAAAAAAAUAAGGCAUAAAAAUAGUAUUGGUUACCUAGCAAAUUGUUUUUUUUAGGGAAGACCUAGCAAAUUGUUGUCAAUAGUUGUUAUAAUCAGUGCCAAACAAGAAUGCAGUUGGCUUCCAGCCCAUAGUUGAAUGCGGUAUGGCUUCUCGAGUCCACAAGUUGGCUCGAAAAUGAUGUGACACGGAUCCAUCUCGGAAAUUUCUGUUAGUAUGAUUCCUUCAGGUUCUGUAGUAGCUCUACACGUAAGCAGUCAAAUUCAGUGUACCAUCAUAUCUUAUUGUAGUGCUACUAUUAGAUAGAGAAACCGUGUAAGCAUGAAUUUGAAUAAGGAGGUCACUUAAAAAAACAGAUUUGUGGCCAGAUCACAGUAUUCAGCAUAAGAAAAAUGCACGUUCCUGUUUGUGACCCGGUAGUUCUACUGACACGGCACAUACUGAAUUUUAGUUAUUUGUAAAUCAGAUUCAAACAACUUGCAUGAAGUUUUAAAUUAGCACCUGAUCAGUUAGAUGAGCUAAAAGUUUUCAGGAGUAAGUCUGGUUUCUAUAAUUCAAAGAAACUUUGCUGGUGCUUGAUCUAAAGAAUUUAAAGAAAUGGCCAGAUGAUGUAGGAGAACUGACCAGAUCAUGUUAAUAAGAAAAGAAAAAGAAAAAUCUCAACUGGUACAAAGAAAAGAUUAAAAAAACAGAUCCUUGAUAUGAUGAGUGGAAAUUUUUGUUUAAUAAAAUGCUCAAAUGGUAGCAGCUUCUAUAAAUAAGCUUGCCACAGCAAACAUAGUUCUUUAGAAAUGCAAAAGAACAAUGAGCUGCGUAUUACUGACAUGGAAAGAAGCAGAAGUACAUUCACAAAGGAUAGUAGCUUUGGCACCGAGCAGAGUCAUCUGAUCAUACAGUUAAUUAGCGGUCUACUAACCUGUGCAUUCGACACAGAAUAUUAGUGCAACCACCAGAAUGUGCCAGCAAAAUGAGAUCCAGAGAAAUUGAUGGCAUCAUAUAUCCACCACUUGUGUAGUGCCCGAGGAACAUGCCACAUAAAGUUCCUCUUUAAUUCCAAGGUAAUGAACCAAUCCUACAGGUUGAGCAAUGACAUCCUGCAGGUGCAAAAAAAACAAUCAUACCAUAAGAACGGCUAUCAUACACAUGUUUAACAGAGUGAUCAAUUUGAUACUAACCAUAGUAGCACCAGAAUGGUGAAAUUCAUAGGUGUGAGGGGGCCAAAGGGGGAAAGAACAGCACCUCUUCCUGUUCAAGUAUACCACUUACUAAUGCCCGAUAAAAUAAAAAUUUGCAGACAGAUGAAUUUUACCGAGCCCUUUUUUGGUAAACUUUAUGCAACUAGUGAUCUUGUCUCCGCGAGCGGGUUGGUACAACUAAUCCCUGUAGGUUUAUCUUACCAAAACCCAACAACACCCAUAUUAUCUGACCUAUGUUUGAUAUUGACCCUAGAUGCCAUCAUUGGAAAAUUUGGUGGACAAGUGAACGGGAGUACUAGCCCUUAACAGGCAUGGAAGAAUAUCAGGGGCAAUCCAAAAACGACUGCAUCUCAGAUUGUUGUCUGAUUUGUUUUUGAUAAACUGAGCUUAUCCUUCUACUUAGUUUUGAAGGAGGAUAAAUUGACCUUAACUUGGUAUCCAGGAGCGGGAGUAUGACACCAUUCACCAAUAACUUCAGUUCACAGAAAUUGUGCACAUAGCUUGGUAUGACACCUGAACAUCCGAUCUUGCAACCAAACACUCAACUAGAGUAAGAAUUUGCUUGCAUCAGCAACCUGGUUUAAAUAGCUGAACUAAAUAACAACCAAGAUAUAGCUGCUGUCAAAAUCAAGACAGCAAUAGCAUGUAAAUAAAAUCCAAUAGCUACACCUUCAAAGCAUAUGAACAGAAUACAGAAAUACUGAGCAUAGAACCCAAAUUACUGUAUCAUGUCACAGAGAAGCUGUAUGAACAGAAUACAGAAACUCUCUAUGUAAACUGGAUUCAACCUCAAUGGAUGCUGAGCAUAGAACCCAAUUUACUGACACAACACAAGCAUAAAGCAUCACUUCUGACAUUAAAAUCGAGGAUGUCCACAUUCACUCGUCUCAGCAUAUUAGAACUAGAAAUGGUGAUAGGCACAAGUCUCAAACGGAUUAGCUCACGGAAUGCCUCAGCAACCUAACAUAACAUUCGACGCACAAGAGAUGCACCUGAGCAAAGCACCAAUACAUCAGAUUAGCUAACCAAAUGUCUCAAGACACUAGUCACUUUACUCCACGCAAUGUUUGGGCGGUUGAGCCAAGGAGUCUAG